CAGUAAAGCACCCUUACCAACGUAAUGACUCGGUAAUUCAUUAGUCGGUACUCCGUUAUCAAAGAUCAGUCACUACUCUUUUUAAUAAUUAUGUUUUAGGACAUUGUCUUCGAAAACUUUUAAACAUCAGCGCUAGUGGAGCUUGUACGGUAUUGUCGUAUAAUGAUGCGCGUGCUGUACGGCAUUAUGAUUGUCAAUUGUGUUUACUCUCGUUGUUAAUGUUAUUAUUAUUAUUAUUUCUCGAUAAAAAGUGUUAUUACCCAUUAAGCGUCCGUGAUAGUAACUAACGAUGUACAACGGAAUCGGUUUGGCAACAGCCCGUGGAUCGGGUACCAACGGUUAUGUACAACGGAAUUGGGCGGCCAUAAAGAAAGUCAAAGACCAGACGUCAUUCAAGACUGAAGAGGAGUUGGCCAAAAUAGAUUCUGCCGCCAACCGUCAACCCAACCAGGAGCUGUUGGAUCAUGACCGCAAGCGAAAGGUCGAGCUAAAAUGCAUUGAACUUGAACAGUCGUUGGAAGACCAAGGUUUUUCCCAAGAUGAAAUUAUCAAAAAAAUUAAUACUUUCAGAGUUACGUUAUUGGGAAAACAAAAGAAUACGACUGAAUAUGAUGAAUGUGGCAGACCUAUAUUAUUCUAUGAAAGAAAUAACUACAAAUUCAGUGUUAGGGAUACACAUCAAUUUGCUGAUGAGCAAUUAAAAAAGAAUGCAAGACUUAGAGAUGCUUUUGGUAUAUCAGAAUUUUUUAUUGAAGGCUCUAGCUUAGAUCCAGAAAGAAAAAUAAAAGAAGCAGCUCUGGCCCAGUUAAAAGCGUUGCAGGUGGAUAAAGCACUUGAGCAAACACAAACGAUUGAAGACACCUCAACAAAUAAAGACAGCAGUAUAGCAAACGAACUACAGUUCAAAAGUCCUAAGCACAAAAAGCGAAAGAAGAAGAAGUCAAAAUCUCAUAAAAGUGACAAGGAAAAAGGAAGUGAAAAGAAAAAAUCAAAAAAACAUAAAAAGAAACAUAACUCUUCAUCUGAAGAUAGUUCAAGAACUGAUGAAGUAAAAGUCAACAAGAAUUUGUCUCAAUUAAAAUCCAAAUAUGAUGAUGAUAAAUCUAAUAAAAUAACUGAAACUAAAAAAAAAUAUGAGUCUGAAAAUAAUCAUAAAAAAUAUACUAGGGAUAAUGAUACAAAGGAAGUAGAAUUUAAGUAUAAGAGUGAUCGGGAGGAUUACCGUAAAAAAGAUACUAAACUAGAAAAUCCUAAAAACCCGAAGAAAGAUAAAAUAACUGAAGAAAUCAACAAGUCAAAGUCUAAAGACAUUGUUAAUAAUUCUAAAAAACAAGAAAAUUCUCCUAGACAUAAAACACCAAUAAAAGAACGUGAUCGAGAUAGAGAGAGAGAUUAUGAUAAAUACUCAUAUAGACAAAGAAAUCGUGAUGACAUUAAAUCAAAUAAAGAAAAAUAUGAUAAAAAAUCUGAUAAAGCAGACUCAAAAUACAAUUCUAAGAAAAGGAAUUCAAGAACUCCUAUUAAAGAAUUGAAGAAAAAACCAAUUCAACCUGAGAGAUUAACUUGCAUUUCUGCUGAUAGUGAUAGUGAUAAGUCUUGUUAUACACCACCUCCCAAAGGUUUGAAUGCUAAAUUGAGUCAAUCAAAAAUUAAUGAAGAAAAAAAUUUAAAGAGUACUAAAUAUACAUUUUCAUUGCGCGAGGAUAGUGAAGAUCGUUUAGUUGUAACUAAGCCUAAUGGAAGUAAUAACGAUUUGAAAUCAGAAUUACAAAAUAGUGAAAAUCAACAUAAGAAACUUGAAACUCGAAAAACAAAUGAUAGAAUAGAUCAAGUAUUUUUAGAAUCUAGUUCAAGUGAAAACGGUGGAUUAGAAGAAGAUAUUGAUUUAAAUAUAAUUAAAGAAAUAACUACAGAAAAAAUAAAAAAAGUAUUUGAGUUACACGAAAAACAAGAGCAAGCACUGCUUCUUUUGAAAAAAAAGCUAAUGGAGAAAAAACGUAAAGUUAGGACUUCUUCCAGUUCAAGUGAGAGCUCAGACGAAGAACCUAUCAAAAAGAAAAGUGUCAAACGGAAACGUGUUAAAGAUUCGUCAUCUAGCAACAGUGAUGUGAAUACUAGAAAAAAAUCCAAACGCUCACGCUCUAGUAGCAGUAGCAGUAGUGCAAGUGACACCAGUGUUGAUCAUCAUAAGUCAUCAAAACGAUCUAAAGAUAAAUACUCAAAGAAAAAGUCAGUAUCACGCCGUCGUACUAAAAAUAGUACAUCUCGAUCUCGAUCACGAUCAGUGUCAGUUAGCUCAAAUGAACGGCUACGUAAGAAGCGAGUUUCUUCAAGUGAAGAAUCAAGUCCUAGGCGUAAACAUAAAUCAUCCAAACGCAAACGUUCAUCCCGAAGACCAAGGAGCAGUGAUAGUAGUUGUAGCAGUCGAUCAUCACCAUCUUACAAUAACAAAAGACGUUAUAGUUCAAGUCGUUCACGUUCGACUAGUAUUUCAUCUAGCAGUCAUUACUCCCGCAGUUCUAGUUCAAGCCAGGACUCAAGCAGUUCUGAGUCUAGCCGUAGUUCAAAGUCUCGAUCUGCAUCUAUACCUAGGCGACGGGGGUCGCCUAGUUUUUUGGAUCGAAGACGAAUUACAAGGUAAAUUUUAAUGUUGUGUGUGUUCUAUACCUCCUAUUUUAUUUUUAAAUUAAAUAUAUCUUGAGUUAAACAAUUCCAUAAAAUGUUUGUUUAAACUAUAUAAAACAUAAUAUGUUUACAUUUUUUAUUUACUCAAAUUCUCAAACAAAAUAGUAAAAUUAUGUUCCUAUCUCAUUUUAAAUUAUGCUCGAAUCACGAUUUGGAUGAUGAGACUGGAACACAGUGCGAGAAAAAGACCCAUCCCAUACACAAGACUAACGCCGUUUUCCACCAAUUCUGAUACGGAUAGUGUCAUCAGCGUGCACGACUCACCAAUUGCUGAGAGCCACUAACUCGGAAUUUUUUCUUUGUAAACUAACACAAUUUGUUAUAGUGCAAUAACUAUUAGGCCAACGUUAAAUAGUUAAGUUAUCUAACUCUAGUCAAAUAUUUGUGGAGUGUGAAGUAUCACAUUUCAUAAUUUUAUUAUUUCAACCUUCCUAGCAAACAUGUGAUUUUAUUAUUAACAUUCCACGUAGAGAUUAUAACUUAUGAAAUCUAGUCAAAAGUCUAAGUCAUUCCUUUACGCCUUGUAAAUGUUUUAAAAUCUUUGUGAUAUAUUAUUUUUGACGGGAAUAAUACAAUAUUUUUCAUGUUACCAAUAAUAUGUUGUUCUAUGUUAUUAUUUAUUAAUUAACUAUAAUUUUUUUUUCAUUUAUAUAUUAUAUAUUAUAUAUAUAUACAACAUUUGUAUGUUUAAAAUAUUGUUCUGAUAAUUUUCAAAGAUGGACCAAAAAUUUUGGCAUUUAAUUUUUUUUAAAUUUAAUGCAAAAUAUUAACUUGCAAUUACAUAGUAUUCUAUGUUUUAUCAUUUUUAAGCUUAAAAAUAUUAUAUUAUUUAAUGGAUUUGAUAGAAAUAAAAUAACUGUUUGUAUUUAUAACAUGUGCAAUAACAAACAAGCAAAUUAAUAACAACCACCUAACUAUUGCUUUAUUACAAGUUACCAUUUAACAAAUUAAAUUUUAGACAGUUGUACAAUUCAUUUUCUUAAUAUUUAUAAAAUAUCUUAUGAUUUGAUUGCUGUCGUUCAUUUGAAUAUAUGUACAAUAAAAACAGUCUUUUAAAAACUACAAUUAACCCCUCCCAAAUUUAAAAUUUAAGCAUAAUAUUAAUGAAUCUAAUUGCUCAGUUCUUUGAAAUAUAAAAAUGCUUUCAAAAAAAUGUUUUUCAAUCAACAUCAAUAAUACCUAAUAAGCAGAUCUAUGGAAAAAUGUACAACUGUAAUACAAUUGGUAACAGUAUUAUACAUAACCAUAACAAUUUUUUUUUGUGUGCAUAUAUAUUUGUUUUUGUUUUUUUUUUAAUAAUAUUAAAAUAUAUAUAUGAAAAAAAAAAAUA
RNA transcript from Aphis gossypii (cotton aphid), 4015 nucleotides. It is a transcript of the gene named serine/arginine repetitive matrix protein 3, with no coding region annotated. The record is from RefSeq and is a predicted model, not a curated record. NCBI's taxonomy places the organism in Eukaryota, Metazoa, Arthropoda, Insecta, Hemiptera, Aphididae. The transcript is spliced from 10 exons.